AUCGGUAGAAGCUGCAAGGUCAACUGGCCAACUACCUGCAUGUCCACUUCGCGCAGGGGUCUUGGCAUCCUGGACCUGGAGCGAUUUAGCCGUGCCCUUAGACUACGUUGGCUCUGGAUCGCUGUGAAGGCCCCUGAGCAGCCAUGGGUUGGCACCCAACCCCCCUUCAGCGACGACGACAAGGCCCUAUUUGCAGCCGCAACAACAGUCAUCCGUGAUGGAUCAACAUCAUUAUUCUAG
Molecule: ribosomal RNA, 240 nt
Filed under: Triticum aestivum (bread wheat)
Lineage: Eukaryota; Viridiplantae; Streptophyta; Magnoliopsida; Poales; Poaceae
Description: partial small subunit ribosomal RNA
Source: RNAcentral